CGCGUAGGCGGUGCCGUAAGCGGCGAGUGAAAUCCCAGGGCUCAACCCUGGGACUGCUCGCCGUACUGCGGUGCUCGAGUGCGGGAGGGGGGUGUGGAACUCUAGGUGGAGCGGUGAAAUGCGUAGAUAUCUAGAGGAACACCGGUGGCGAAAGCGACACCCUGGCCCGCAACUGACGCUGAGGCGCGAAAGCGUGGGUAGCAAACAGGAUUAGAUACCCUGGUAGUCCACGCCGUAAACGAUGAGCACUAGGUAGCCGCCGGAUCCGACCGGGGGCUGCUGAAGGUAAUCCAUUAAGUGCUCCGCCUGGGGAGUAUGGUCGCAAGGCUGAA
RNAcentral lists this ribosomal RNA (332 nucleotides) under uncultured Planctomycetota bacterium. RNAcentral's name for it is "bacterial SSU rRNA". It matches the Rfam family "Bacterial small subunit ribosomal RNA", at positions 568 to 898 of the family's 1533-position model. Lineage: Bacteria; Pseudomonadati; Planctomycetota. The record is from RNAcentral.